This 501-nucleotide ribosomal RNA is filed under the name uncultured bacterium. RNAcentral's name for it is "partial 16S ribosomal RNA". It matches the Rfam family "Bacterial small subunit ribosomal RNA", at positions 29 to 523 of the family's 1533-position model. The record is from RNAcentral.
AUUGAACGCUGGCGGCACGCCUAACACAUGCAAGUCGAGCGGUAACAGGAUUAGUAGCAAUACUAGUUGCUGACGAGCGGCGGACGGGUGAGGAAGACGUAGGAACUUGCCUAAUAGAGGGGGAUAACCAAGGGAAACUUUGGCUAAUACCGCAUACAUUCGAGAGAAGAAAGGCGCUGAAAGGCGUCGCGAUUAGAGAGGCCUGCGUCCGAUUAGCUAGUUGGUGAGGUAAGAGCUCACCAAGGCGAUGAUCGGUAACUGGUCUGAGAGGACGGCCAGUCACACUGGGACUGAGACACGGCCCAGACUCCUACGGGAGGCAGCAGUGGGGAAUAUUGGACAAUGGGGGCAACCCUGAUCCAGCGAUGCCGCGUGGGUGAAGAAGGCCUUCGGGUUGUAAAGCCCUUUAGGCCGGGACGAAAGCAGAUGGGGGAAAUGCCAUUUGGUUGACGGUACCGGCAGAAUAAGCACCGGCAAACUCUGUGCCAGCCGCCGCCGUAA